GACGAACGCUGGCGGCGUGCCUAAUACAUGCAAGUAGAACGCUGAAGGAGGAGCUUGCUCUUCUGGAUGAGUUGCGAACGGGUGAGUAACGCGUAGGUAACCUGCCUGGUAGCGGGGGAUAACUAUUGGAAACGAUAGCUAAUACCGCAUAACAGUAGAUGUUGCAUGACAUUUGCUUAAAAGGUGCAAUUGCACCACUACCAGAUGGACCUGCGUUGUAUUAGCUAGUUGGUGGGGUAACGGCUCACCAAGGCGACGAUACAUAGCCGACCUGAGAGGGUGAUCGGCCACACUGGGACUGAGACACGGCCCAGACUCCUACGGGAGGCAGCAGUAGGGAAUCUUCGGCAAUAGACGGAAGUCUGACCGAGCAACGCCGCGUGAGUGAAGAAGGUUGUCGGAUCGUAAAGCUCUGUUGUAAGAGAAGAACGAGUGUGAGAGUGGAAAGUUCACACUGUGACGGUAGCUUACCAGAAAGGGACGGCUAACUACGUG
RNAcentral lists this ribosomal RNA (495 nucleotides) under uncultured bacterium. RNAcentral's name for it is "partial 16S ribosomal RNA". It matches the Rfam family "Bacterial small subunit ribosomal RNA", at positions 28 to 507 of the family's 1533-position model. The record is from RNAcentral.